CUCAAGAUAUAAAUGAUUAUGUAUAUACUUGUAUUUAUGGAGAAAAUAGAAUAAUAAUAAAGGAGAGAGUGAGAGUUGGUCGUGUGAUUGUGAUGAGUAAAGAAGAAAGUAAUCUUCUUAUUAUUGUUGUAUCUUUUUCAUUUGCUACGAAUAAGAACUUAACUCAGCUAUUUAUAGUGCAACAAAAUUACAUAGUCAUCAUCUCUUUAAUAGAGAACAAGAAACGUAG
RNAcentral lists this long non-coding RNA (229 nucleotides) under Brassica napus (rape). Its description in RNAcentral is "long non-coding RNA (BNAP_LNC003159)". Lineage: Eukaryota; Viridiplantae; Streptophyta; Magnoliopsida; Brassicales; Brassicaceae. The record is from RNAcentral.